AAAAUAUUUUCAGACAGAUCGAGAACUGUCUCUCCACCGAAAAAUAAGCGAUGACGAAAGAAUCUACAAACGAUGAUGAAUCCAAAGGUUUAUGUCUUCUAUAUGAGUAAAAAAAGAUCAAAAUCAAAACAGAUUAAGGUACAUGCAAAUCUGUUUGCAUGCAGCAGUAUCCAGCUAUGAACUAAUAGCAAAGGUCUUAUAUUAUGUUCGUUCAAAAGACAAUACCAGAUGAAUGCUAUGUCUCUGAAACCAGAAGAAAAGACUGGAGAGCUUGAGAGGAAUAUGAAAUAGUAGCCGAUUGAGGAGUAUACAUCUUCCUCCCUAUAAGAGAUUGGAGUAAAAAGGAUACAUACCAGAUGGCUGCUAUAUAUAUAUCUGAAACCAGAAGAGAAAACUGGAGAGAUCGAGAGGAAUUCAAAAAAUCAAAGAUAAGUAAUUUCCUGAAAAAGAAAUAAUUAUGCUUAUCAUAAUAUGCAUAUAUUAAAGUUUUCAUAUGCAUUCAGUUUUAAACAUAAGUUGUAUUUCAUUUGUGAUUAAGAUAAAAUAUAAAGGAGAUUAAUUUUAAUUUUAAUUUAUUAUAUUAAAACAGAAGUCAUGACUUCUAAUUCAUGUAUGUUUUUGAAAAAUGGACUACUUACUAGACUUGGUCAAACUGCAUUUUUAUCUAUUAUUAAUCUUCAUAUUAAAUAAUAUCAUUUAAUAUCUUCAUUUUUAUUUAAGAUAAAAAUAAAUAUUAAUUUAAAAAAAUUCUCACUAAAUCUUUGAAGAAUUUUUUCAGAAUCCUUUUAAAAUUUAUUUUCGAAAAUUGAUUAAUUUAAAUUUUAGUUGUCAUAAAAUAUAAUUAGAAAUUUAAAUUUAAUUUAGUUUUGAUUUAUAAACAAAAAAUAAAAUUAUAUAAAAUAUUGUAAUAAUAAUAAUAGCCACUUAAAAUGAUUACUUUUCAAAAAUAAAUUUUACAAAGAUUUUAAAAAGAUUUUGUUGGAAAGCAAUAUCCAUCUCUGUUUAAUUAUAUAACAUAUAUGAAAAAUUAACUUAUCUUAAAAUUUUAUAUAUACAAUGAUCUAUUAUAUAAACUGAAUAAACAAAACAAAUUACUAAAAGAAAUCUAGCACUCUGAAUUACGGGUCGGGAUUAUAGUAAAUUAAAUACAAAAUAAUUCUGAAGUAUGCAAUUUCUAACAAAUCUAACAUUUUAAUUAAAAUUACUAUAUUGAACUAAAAAGGAUAAAAUUAUCUUAAAUUGAUAAGUUAGUAUAUUUUAUUUUCAUAAAUAUAAAACAUUUAUUCUAAAAAUAUAAUAUGUUGGUAGAAUGGUUUAACAUUAAUAAACUAUAUAAUACAUGCAUACAAAAUUAAAUUUUCUUAAACUUUUAUAUAUACAAUAAUUUAUUAUAUAAACUGAAUAAACAAAACAAAAUUCUCAAGAAAAUCUAGCACUUUGAAUUACAGGUCGGGAUCAUAAUAAAUUAAAUAUAAAAUAAAUACAUAAUAAGAAGCAAUAUCUUAUAUAUUAAAACAGAAGUCACAACUUCAUUUCAUGUGUGAAUUUUUUAAAAAAUGGACCUAGCUAUUCCUAGAAACUCAUGUUACAUUAAUUAACUAAUCAAAUAAUUAUUAUAGCCUCAUUCCUAGACACUAUAGUUACAACAAUACUCCUAAAUUUUCGGCAGCUAUUACCAGAUGAAAUUAUUUCAAAUUAAAUGAGCAUUCCAUACGAGUUUAAUGUGCAAAUUAUUAUAUGUACUUAACCAACUAUAACCAGAAUAAAUUACUCCAAAUUAAAUGAAGUUGAUUCAUUCAUGGAGAUAGAUAGAAAAGCAACUAUAGAGUCGAUCUUUACGGAUGAAAGAGUGAUAUGAUUUAUAAUUGCUACUAGAUCUUGAUCUGCGGGGUAUUAUGUAAAUAUUUCGAAUAUAAUAGUUUUAAAUUUUACAUGUUGUAAUUAAUUAGUUGUUUAGAACUGUCACAUGUAUUUUCUUUUAUUAUAUAUUUAUUUUUUGUAUUUAUAUUUACUUAUUAAAAAAAUAAUAUAUGCAUGAAAUAACAUAUUUGAAAAUUAUUUUGUAUUAAAAUUUUACUCAAUUAUGAUUCGCCGACCUUCAAAACUAAAUUUCAUUUUAGCAAUAUUAUAAAACAGAAGUCACAACUUCAUUUCAUGUGUUAUUUUUUUUUAAAAACGGACCUAGCUAUUCCUAGAAACUCAUGUUACAUUAGUUAACUAAUCAAAUAAUUAUUAUAGCCUCAUUCCUAGACACUAUAGUUACAACAAUACUCCUAAAUUUUCGGCAGCUAUUACCAGAUGAAAUUAUUUCAAAUUAAAUGAGCAUUCCAUACGAGUUUAAUGUGCAAAUUAUUAUAUGUACUUAACCAACUAUAACCAGAAUAAAUUACUCCAAAUUAAAUGAAGUUGAUUCAUUCAUGGAGAUAGAUAGAAAAGCAACUAUGGAGUUGAUCUUUAAGGAUGAAAGAGUGAUAUGAUUUAUAAUUGCUACUAGAUCUUGAUCUGCGGGGGUAUUAUAUAAAUAUUUCGAAUAUAAUAAUUUUAAAUUUUACAUGUUGUAAUUAAUUAAUUGUUUAGAACUGUCACAUGUAUUUUCUCUUUUAUUAUAUAUUUAUUUUUGUAUUUAUAUUUACUUAUUAAAAAAAAUUAAUAUAUGCAUGAAAUAACAUAUUUGAAAAUUAUUUUGUAUUAAAAUUUUACUCAAUUAUGAUUCGCCGACCUUCAAAACUAAAUUUUAUUUUAGCAAUAUUAUAAAACAGAAGUCGCAACUUCAUUUCAUGUGUGAUUUUUUUUAAAAAAAUGGACCUAGCUAUUCCUAGAAACUCAUGUUACAUUAAUUAACUAAUCAAAUAAUUAUUAUAGCCUCAUUCCUAGACACUAUAGUUACAACAAUACUCCUAAAUUUUUGGCAGCUAUUACCAGAAUAAAUUAUUUCAAAUUAAAUGAGCAUUCCAUACCAGUCUAAUGUGCAAAUUAUUAUAUGUACUUAACCAACUAUAACCAGAAUAAAUUACUCCAAAUUAAAUGAAGUUGAUUCAUUCGUGGAGAUAGAUAGAAAAGCAACUAUAGAGUUGAUCUUUACGGAUGAAAGAGUGACAUGAUUUAUAAUUGCUACUAGAUCUUGAUCUGCGGGGGUAUUAUGUAAAUAUUUCGAAUAUAAUAAUUUUAAAUUUUACAUGUUGUAAUUAAUUAAUUGUUUAGAACUGUCACAUGUAUUUUCUCUUUUAUUAUAUAUUUAUUUUUGUAUUUAUAUUUACUUAUUAAACAAAUUAAUAUAUGCAUGAAAUAACAUAUUUGAAAAUUAUUUUGUAUUAAAAUUUUACUCAAUUAUGAUUCACUGACCUUCAAAACUAAAUUUCAUUUUAGCAACAUUUUAUUAUAUAUACAAAAAUGUAAGAUAUUUUGAUUUUAUACAUGUAUUAUAUAGUUUCAGAAUGUUAAGUAGUUCUGUCAUAGUAUUAUAUUUAAUUUUAUC
Molecule: long non-coding RNA, 3475 nt
Organism: Raphanus sativus (radish)
Lineage: Eukaryota; Viridiplantae; Streptophyta; Magnoliopsida; Brassicales; Brassicaceae
Exons: 3
Source: RefSeq, a predicted model, not a curated record